Molecule: ribosomal RNA, 880 nt
Filed under: uncultured fungus
Lineage: Eukaryota; Fungi
Description: LSU rRNA
Rfam family: Eukaryotic large subunit ribosomal RNA
Source: RNAcentral
AAGAACAACAGGGAUUACCUCAGUAACGGCGAGUGAAGCGGUAACAGCUCAAAUUUGAAAUCUGGCCUCACGGUCCGAGUUGUAAUUUGUAGAGGAUGCUUCGAGCAUGGUCUGGCCUAAGUUCCUUGGAACAGGACGUCAUAGAGGGUGAGAAUCCCGUAUGCGGUCAGGUGCCUACGCUCAUGUGAAGCUCCUUCGUCGAGUCGAGUUGUUUGGGAAUGCAGCUCAAAAUGGGUGGUAAAUUUCAUCUAAAGCUAAAUAUUGGCCAGAGACCGAUAGCGCACAAGUAGAGUGAUCGAAAGAUGAAAAGCACUUUGGAAAGAGAGUUAAACAGUACGUGAAAUUGUUGAAAGGGAAGCGCUUGCAACCAGACUUGCGUGCGGCCGAUCAUCCGGUGUUCUCACCGGUGCACUCGGCCGUGCUCAGGCCAGCAUCGGUUUUGGCGGCUGGAUAAAGGCCCCAGGAAUGUGGCUCCUCUCGGGGAGUGUUAUAGCCUGGGGUGCAAUGCAGCCUGCUGGGACCGAGGACCGCGCUUCGGCUAGGAUGCUGGCGUAAUGGUUGUAAGCGGCCCGUCUUGAAACACGGACCAAGGAGUCUAACAUCUAUGCGAGUGUUUGGGUGUCAAACCCAUACGCGUAAUGAAAGUGAACGGAGGUGAGAACCCUUAAGGGUGCAUCAUCGACCGAUCCUGAUGUCUUCGGAAGGAUUUGAGUAAGAGCAUAGCUGUUGGGACCCGAAAGAUGGUGAACUAUGCCUGAAUAGGGUGAAGCCAGAGGAAACUCUGGUGGAGGCUCGCAGCGGUUCUGACGUGCAAAUCGAUCGUCAAAUUUGGGUAUAGGGGCGAAAGACUAAUCGAACCAUCUAGUAGCUGGUUCCUGCC